Molecule: long non-coding RNA, 340 nt
Organism: Gordionus sp. m RMFG-2023
Lineage: Eukaryota; Metazoa; Nematomorpha; Gordioida; Chordodea; Parachordodidae
Exons: 3
Source: RefSeq, a predicted model, not a curated record
AAUUAUUAAAAAUUUUAAUAUCUUUCUAAUCGAUAUUUUAAAUAAUGUCCUUUAAUUAUUAUAAAAAUUAGAUUGUUUAUUUCUUAAAUGAAUAAGCAUCUCCCAUUUUAUGGGUUAAUACUGUUUCACAUGUGGUCGACAAAUUGUCAAACUAGACAGGUCAGAUUAAUGGGUAAAGAGCUUCUCAAAGAUUUGUGCGAAGUUAAAAAGGAUGGAACGAGUAAUAUAAAGGACUUCUUUGCUUCUAGAAAGCUUACCAAACUUAAAAACCAGAUUUACUUGAGAAGAGAAUGGGACAAGAUUGUUUGGAAUGCUAAUUUUAAGGACAUUUUCAAGAAUG